RNAcentral lists this long non-coding RNA (444 nucleotides) under Trifolium pratense (red clover). Its description in RNAcentral is "long non-coding RNA (TPRA_LNC007290)". The record is from RNAcentral. Lineage: Eukaryota; Viridiplantae; Streptophyta; Magnoliopsida; Fabales; Fabaceae.
UGAAGAAAGUGAGUGCAAAGUUGUUAACAACUUCACAAAGGAGAAAUAUCAAGAGGCAAAAUUAUCUAAAUGAAGUGACUCAAAGGAAUGAUUCAACUUUUUUUGCAACUAUAGGAGCAUUAAUUUGUGCUUCUUCCACCUCUUAUAAUACUAGGAAUAGCUAUAUUAACUGGUUAUGUACAACUUUUACCUUGAGACAUGAUAUAUAUUUAAUGAUAAUACUGAAUAGAAAUCUUUGCAUAUGAUAUGACUUAAUUUCCCUCAUUUUAGUGCCAAUUUCUGUCAAUUAUCUUUGCAUAUAUAUUUAGCCAAUGUGAGACUUCUAACACACCCCCUCACGUCCAGAACUGAACAAGCUGGAACGUGGGAUCAACAACAACGGGUGGCCCAAAUAUGGGAGGUCUCCACAACAAACAACAAAUGGAUCUAGGAUAGGCUCUGAUA